CUGAUUUGGGAUUUUGCAGUAAUGAUAUUUCUGUUCUAAUUUUUGGAUGCCUGAUGAUGGAAAACUCAUUUUCUGAGCGGUUACGCGGGUUUUUUUUACGAGCUUUUUGUAUCAUUUUUGCUGUACUAGUCUCUCUCUCUCUGUCUCUCUCUCUCUCUCUCUCUCUCUCUCUCUCUCUCUCUCUUUCUCUCUCUCUCUCUCUCUCUCUCUUUCUCUCUCUCUCUCUCUCUGUCUUUAUGGCUUGUACAGUUGAAGAUGUGAAAAGGCUCAUGGUGAUAAUCCCGCAGAUAACUGUCUAUGACCAGAUAUAGCUAUGAGAUCUGAAGGCUUGUUUACAGGCAUUUUCUUUUCCCUAACAGAUGUGUAUUGAAUUUUCAGUUGUUUUGUUUCGUUAAUACAACAACAACAACAAAACUUUUUUCCAUUAAAUGGGGUCGGCUAUAUGAAUCUUAUAACGUCAUUGCGCUCGGUUUUGUGUCAUGUCCUCCGUUAGAUCCAAGUACUCUAAGUUUUUUCUUAGGGUUUCUUCCAAAGUUUUCCUAGGUCUUCCUCUACCCCUUUGCCCUGAACCUCUAUCCCGUAGUCACAUCUUCGAACCGGAGCGUAAGUAGUCACAUCUUCGAACCGGAGCGUAAGUAGGCUUUCUUUGCACAUGUUCAAACCCAUUUUGUUUCGUUAAUGAUUUCUGUAUAUGUAUUCUUACUAUUGUAUUGAUCUGAAGUUUUCUGUUAAUAGAAAACCGAAGAGCACUUUUGGCGUUGCGGUAUUUUACCCCUAUAAAACGAUUAUUGGAGAUUGUUUUGGUUAGAAGAUGGUUAUAGAUUUUUGAUUUACUUUAUCUUCUGGUUCAAAUAUGAUGCCCAGUGAUGGGAGAAUUGAAAACCUAAACAGUGGUAAGCGUGGUUGAUUUUUCAUUAGCCCGUACUUACCACAAGCACCACCUCUCUCUCUCACUACAACAAACAACAACCAAGCCUUAUCCCACUAUACGUGGGAUUGGCUGGAUGAAUCAUUGAACGCCAUUACGCUGGGUUUUGUGCCAAGUCUUCCGUUAUCUCUGUCUCUCAUACAUAUAAAUAUAUACAUACAUUCACACAUACAUACGUUGGUGGUGCAUGGUGGAGUACGAAGGCUUUUGAGGAACGCCACUAGCCGUGAACUGUAUAUGACUCGUUCAAAGGUGUGAGAUCUGAGGGCACGAACCUUUGAAGUAGUGAUGCUUGUCAAGUUAUUUUUCAAGGUUAGAGCACGAGCCUUUGGUGUAGUAAUGUUGUGCUAAUGAUGAGUUAUACUCUGUAUCUAGCCUUUCUUUUUCUUGAAUUAUUUUGGAUCAUUACCAUGUUCUCUGAUAUAGUUUUUUUGCUGCUUCUGAAAGGUUUAUUUGCCUAAUGAUGGAAAACUCAUUUAUGGAGCGGUUCUGUGGAUUGUUAUUAGGAGCCUUUUCUAUCAUUUUCCUAUACUAGUCGCCGUCAUCAUCAACACCACCAUUCUUCUCUCUCUCUCUCUCUCUCUCUCUCUUCUCUCUCUCUUCUCUCUCCCUCUCUGGCUUGUAUGGUUGAAGAUGUGAAGAGGUUCAUAGUGAUAAUCCACAGUUAACUAGCAAUGACCAGAUAUAGCUAUGAGAUCUGAAGGCUCUUCAGUUUUUUGCCUUUUUUUAUUUAAGAUAUGCUUGUUGAAUUUUAAAUUAUUUUUGUUCCCUUAGUUAUUUAUAUAGGUCAUUGCAGCAUUGUAGACAUUAUUUUAGUUUAACUGGAGCACUUUUGGCAUUGCAGUAUUUGAUUACUAUAAAUGUACUGUUACUUUUGUAUUGAUUUCAAAUUUUCUGUUAAUAGAAAACCAAAGAGCACUUUCGGCAUUGCAGUAUUUUUGUAUAUAAUGCGAGCUCCCUUCAGACUCAAACCUGCUUGUACAUUGUUACAUAUAAAGCUAAUAAACUGUCGUUUGGAAAAAAAUUCACUCUUUCAUUGUUACUGAGUGCUUUUAUUUCCUACAAAGCUAUUAUUGUAGAUUGUUUUUGUUGAAAGAUGGUUAUACAUUUUGAUUAACUUUAUCUUCUGGUUCAAAUAUGAUGCCCAGUGAUGGAAAGUUGAAAACCUAAAUAGUGGUAAGGGUGGUUGAUUCUUCAUUAUCCCGUACUAACCACAAGCACCACCUCUCUCUCUCUCUCUCUCUCUCUCUCUCUCUCUCUAAUAUAUAUACAUACAUACAUACACACACAUACGUUGGUGCUGCAUUGUGGAGUAUGAAGGCUUUUGAGGAACGCCAUUGCCCAUGAACUGGAAAUGACUUAUUGCUAUG
This 2298-nucleotide long non-coding RNA is filed under the name Malus domestica (apple). RNAcentral describes it as "long non-coding RNA (MDOM_LNC008909)". The record is from RNAcentral. Lineage: Eukaryota; Viridiplantae; Streptophyta; Magnoliopsida; Rosales; Rosaceae.